This 255-nucleotide ribosomal RNA is filed under the name uncultured bacterium. RNAcentral describes it as "partial 16S ribosomal RNA". It matches the Rfam family "Bacterial small subunit ribosomal RNA", at positions 524 to 776 of the family's 1533-position model. The record is from RNAcentral.
GACGUAGGAGGCGAGCGUUAUCCGGAUUCACUGGGCGUAAAGCGCAUGUAGGCGGUUGCACAAGUCCGUUGUUAAAGCCCCUGGCUCAACUGGGGGAGGUCAAUGGAGACUGUGCGACUUGAGGGCAAUAGAGGCACGUGGAACUCCCGGUGUAGCGGUGGAAUGCGUAGAGAUCGGGAAGAACACCAGUGGCGAAGGCGACGUGCUGGGUGCACCUGACGCUGAGAUGCGAAAGUGUGGGGGGGAGCAAACGGG